UAGGGAAUCUUCCGCAAUGGACACAAGUCUGACGGAGCAACGCCGCGUGAGUGAAGAAGGAUUUCGGUUCGUAAAACUCUGUUGUUAGAGAAGAACAGCGCAUAGAGUAACUGUUAUGCGUGUGACGGUAUCUAACCAGAAAGCCACGGCUAACUACGUGCCAGCAGCCGCGGUAAUACGUAGGUGGCAAGCGUUGUCCGGAUUUAUUGGGCGUAAAGCGAGCGCAGGCGGUCAAUUAAGUCUGGUGUGAAAGCCCCCGGCUCAACCGGGGAGGGUCAUUGGAAACUGGUUGACUGGAGUGCAGAAGAGGAGAGUGGAAUUCCAUGUGUAGCGGUGAAAUGCGUAGAUAUAUGGAGGAACACCAGUGGCGAAGGCGACUCUCUGGUCUGUAACUGACGCUGAGGCUCGAAAGCGUGGGUAGCAAACAGG
This 429-nucleotide ribosomal RNA is filed under the name Bacteroidota bacterium. Its description in RNAcentral is "Bacteroidetes bacterium partial 16S ribosomal RNA". It matches the Rfam family "Bacterial small subunit ribosomal RNA", at positions 355 to 776 of the family's 1533-position model. Lineage: Bacteria; Pseudomonadati; Bacteroidota. The record is from RNAcentral.